Molecule: long non-coding RNA, 4420 nt
Organism: Gopherus flavomarginatus (Mexican gopher tortoise)
Lineage: Eukaryota; Metazoa; Chordata; Testudines; Testudinidae
Exons: 2
Source: RefSeq, a predicted model, not a curated record
CUGGGCUGGGGAGUUGCGGGCUCCUGGAGUCGGGCUGGGGGCGGGAGGCUGGUCCUUGGCUGAGCCCUGCCCCGCCCGGGGUGCGGCUGCAGGGCAGGAGGAGGAAGCCGCAGCGGUUCCGGGCACAGAUCGCGCCGCCCGGAGCCUGCAGCGGCCGCCGGCAGGAGCGGCCGGACCGGAGGGGCGGAGCUGGGAAGAUCUGCGGCCGCCCAGAGAAGUGAGCUGGAGCCGAGCCCGUUGGCCUGGGUCAGGGUGCCCCGUGGAUGGGUGUGGUACAGAUUUGCUGCUAGCGCAGACUUAGCUCCCUCUGCCGUAGUUUGCCAGGUGGCUGGAGGCACCGCAGCAAGAGAGGACCUGUGAGAGCUCGUCUUGCCACGGGGGAACAUGCAGCGUGGUGCCAUGACUGUUGAGAACCCCUACGCCAGCGUGAAUAUUCCUCGAGAUCAGCUCGAGAACAGCUUCAUUAAGCGCUACCUGGGAGAGGAGCUGCCCUCGCCCACUGUCAUUGUUAAUCCUGGCGCCAUGCCCACCUACCCAGCCCCAGAGCAGCUGAACGGUGCCAGUAAAUCGGUGCCACUGGAUAGUUGGGAUGGUUCAAAAGUCCUGACGCAGGAGUCCUGGGCCCAGCCGCAUAACCCGUAUGCCAGCCUGAAGCUGCUGAACGGCGCUUCCUCGGCCCCGCUGUACACCAUUGAGCUAGACAAGCACCAGAAGAGUCCUGAGGUGGGCACGGACUGUGGCUGCUGCUGCUGCUGUAAGUACUGGCCCUGCUGCCGGAAAUGCUGCUGUGUUGUUUCCUAACCCCACGAGCCCUGACCUCUUGCCACACCCGGACCGGCACCGGGCUGGCCCUGCUGAGACAUCGGCCUGAGCCGGCCUCCUUAAGGAGCUGGGAUCCUGCAGCAAGGGGGCUGGGAUGGACAGCCCCAGCUAUGGUGCCCAUCCUGGCAGGAACUGUGGGACGCCUCGGGGGGCAACUGGAGCCUACAGCAGCCUUGCAGUUUCCUGAUACUUUCCGUGAUCUUUGGCUCUCUCAGGGAUGCUGGGCAUGGGGAGGGGGGGUGACUAUUUUUGCCCCGGUUGUAGGGUGGCUUUCUAGACCUUGUUUAUCCUAUGGAAAGUGAGCUCAGGUGCCAUGGUGAUGGGCAUGUAGCAGUGAUGUGCUGCCAGGAUCGUGGCCAGGCCUCGGAGGAGUUGCAAGACAUGCUGAUGAAGCCUGGAGUGCCUCGUGCAGUGCCCAGUGGUGGAAACACGACUGCUUGCUCCCACUUACUGUCUGGCUGGGGAACAGCCCUGAUGCAACAGGCCGUGCAGCUGUGCUGACCCGCAUGCAGACAAAGACAUCACCCAUUGGAGAAGCAAGAACCUGAGCUUGGGGGGGCCUGAGCGGUGUUUUAUGGGUGCUUGUGGAUUCUCACUGCCCCUCCCCGUGGCUGGGGCAUGCUGGUACAGUCUUGCCUAGCUGCGGAGGCUGCGUGCCUCUUGAUUCUGUGGCGAAAUAGCCUUGCAAACCAAGGCCUUGUCACAACAGUCAUGGUUAAUGUGGUACAAUUCUCUAGUGUGGCUGCAGUUAGACUGGCGGAAAGGUGCUCAUGCUGGUCUAACAUUCCAGUAGGGGAAGGGAAUGAGCUCUACUGGUACGAAGCACCUGGGUCCUGCUCUAUCUGUGUCCACACUAGGACUUGGGCUGGUAAAACUGGGUAGGUAAUGCUCACGCCCCUGACCCACACGAUUGAGAGGUACAAACUCUGUUUGCUAAGCGGGCUGGAAUGAGGAUCCUGCCAGUCCCUGCCUGCUCAGUCACCCGACAAAAGAAGGAAACACACCCCGGAAAAACAGACAAACGAAACAGCUUGGAGAAUGUGCUGGGCUCUGCUCUGGGGAUGUGCCAUGGCUGGACACAUUGGUCUCUGGGUCUGAACUCACAGUGUUAGGAGACUCUUCUGACACCUCACCCACUCUGUGCUGGGGCAUGGCUGUCAGGAGCUGCUUUCCAGGGCUUGGGUGCAGCGCAGGCAGGGGAUGGGCACUUGUACCCCCAGCUUGGUCUGGAGAGGGGGCAGCAGGCCAGCCCUGCUCUACGUGGCACUAACACCGGCUUUUGGUGUUAGUGCCAGUGCUGCUGUGAGACUAGUGCAGGCUGCAGAGGAGGGUUCAGAAUGAAACAGGGAGGGGAGGGAGUGGGACAAGGGGUGUCGAGUCCUCUCUGUCCCAGUCAGCUGUGCAGGACCUGCCAGACUCCAAGGCGCUGGGGUUGUCAGAUAGCCAGGAAUAGGGUGUAAUGAAGUCAUUGGGUCUGCUCCCUUGGGGGUGUUUCUGAAGCAGAAGCCCCAGCCCUGAUGUGGGGGGCAAGGCCAUGGGGAGUAGCGGUGCUGUCCUCUGCACGGGCAGAGGGGCGCCAGCUGGUUGGGUAAUGAGCAAGGGGAAUGAGGCAGCACCGCUCUGCCCUUUACACUGGGCGCCCCUUCCCAUGCUUUGCAGCUGGUUGAUUGCAGCUUGUCAGCGUCACCCCAGACUUGGCUUUCCUGCUAGAUGUCAUGUGUGCUCUGUACAGGGCCAAGUGGUUUGCAUGUGAAACCUGAACCAGACCCACUGUUGUCCUUCAUAAACAGCCCCAUGCAGCACUGGUCCUAGUGGCUGCAGCUGCCGGCUCCGACCUGCCUCACAGGUGAGUUUCUCUACUAGACAAGGGAUGUUUCUCUUGCAGCAGCUGCACUGUGUAAGUGCUGGCACAGCCGGGGUCCAGGGGGUUUGGGGCACAGUGGUAAAACUCCCUGAGCCCUGUGCUAGCGCUUACCCCAUUGCUAGACCUGCAGCAUCACAGGCCACUGUGGGGCAAGCGCCCUGACUGAGUAGUGCUGCAGGAGCAGGAGGGACCAUGCCCAGGGUCCUAGGUGCAGAAUCUCAGUUUUCCCGGCUAGGAAGAUUCUAACCGUUGUGUAGGCUGGGUAGAAUUCAGCUUUUAUUUGUUUGUGAUCUCUACAGAUAGUAUCAAUGCUUAUUUGUAAGAAUAUUUUUAGUUUUAUUGAUUUAAAUUUUCACAGUAGGGGAGGUUAUUGGAGGGCCAGAAAAUGGAAGGUCAGACAAUUAUUUAAUGACAGUAGACGAUGAGAUUCAAAAAGUUAAAGGUUUAUAACCAUUAAAACACAAAUUGUUGAAGUGUACAAAGUAAGUAGGCAAUGUAAGAGAAAUGCUGCUUUGAUAUAAGGCGAUCUGUAAAUUACCAAUGGAAAUAUGUUUUCGUCAUUUGGGUGUGUAUAGUGAAAUCGAUGGUCAUGGAUAUCUACCGAUAAAAGUCGAAUCCUUCCAACCCUGUUCUGAGAGGUGUGAACACCCCGGCCCACCCUCUUGAUGUGUGUUGACUCAAACCUAAUGAUGUCAGCAUUUAACUAUUUCACUGCUGAUCACUGUAGCAGAAACACCCAGCUAAUUUUUGCUCACCCUAACCCUAGCUGCCUCCCAGAUAUCCCCAUAUACUGAAAGCUCCCACUGUCUCCUGCCCAGCUGCCAGAACUUCCCCAGGAGUGUUUCCAGCCCAGAACUCUGCAGCAGGGGACAGUGGAAUGGAAUGUCCCUGGGAUGCUGGGGGCUGGGGUUCCAUGCCGUGGGACCAAGGAGCCAUGCUGCAGAGCUCCAGCUCGUGGCCUUCACCCAAGUGCAUUGAGCUAGGAUUGCCCGCAAGGAGUGACCCAGGAGCCCUUCUGUGCCUCUUGUCCCUCAGCUGCGUCGCUCCCCCCUCCACAUAAUCUAGAGCAAUAGGCCAGCUGUACUCCAACUAGUGCCUCUGAAGAUCAGAUUGUCCCUUGCCAGGUGAGUGUGAACGCUCCAUCCACCAUCACUGGUCCCUGGAUCAUAAGCAGCAGUGUAAAGAGCGUUGCAUGAGGCGUCCAGCCCCCAUCUGUGCAGGAAGCUGCAGCACAUGCCUUCCAUAGACUCCCAGGGUGAGGCCUGUGGUUUGCCUGCCGGGGUGCCAUACAGCCGCGUAGCCAGGACUGGAUGCUGCUGCUGCCAGCUCUGUAUGGUUUCAAUGGGCAUUGUGUGCUAAUGGCUACAGGACUGCCCUUGCUGGGACAUGGCUGCACAGGUCCUGUUUGUAGCAUGGCUGUGGGAGGACCCAGUUCCCAGCAGGGCUCACCCUGGACCCAGUUAAAGCUCAGAUCUGGUUUGAUUGCACCUGAAGUGUGCUAAAGCAUUGGGCUGUCCACGGUACUGCUGCUCCACAGAGCGCCUGUGCUGGGAAUGGGGCUCUGCCAGUGCUCUCAGACCCAGAUUAUCCCAGCCUGUGUGGAGCAAGUGAUUCAGGAUUUCACUGUAGUUGGCUCAGGUGGCUGCUGAACAAUGCCUGGACCCUGCUGUGAAAUCUGGCAGUUCCUGGUGUCCCUGUCACUAUUGCUGUGAAUAAAGUAAUUUGACCAGUGUC